RNAcentral lists this ribosomal RNA (443 nucleotides) under uncultured archaeon. RNAcentral describes it as "bacterial SSU rRNA". It matches the Rfam family "Archaeal small subunit ribosomal RNA", at positions 15 to 463 of the family's 1478-position model. The record is from RNAcentral.
CGCCGGACCUGACUGCUAUCGGAUUGAUANUAAGCCAUGCGAGUCAUUGUAGCAAUACAAGGCAUACGGCUCAGUAACGCGUAGUCAACCUAACCUAUGGACGGGAAUAACCUCGGGAAACUGAGAAUAAUGCCCGAUAGAACAUUAUGCCUGGAAUGGUUUAUGUUCCAAAUGAUUUAUCGCCGUAGGAUGGGACUGCGGCCUAUCAGUUUGUUGGUGAGGUAAUGGCCCACCAAGACUAUUACAGGUACGGGCUCUGAGAGGAGUAGCCCGGAGAUGGGUACUGAGACACGGACCCAGGCCCUAUGGGGCGCAGCAGGCGAGAAAACUUUGCAAUGUGCGAAAGCACGACAAGGUUAAUCCGAGUGGUCUCUGCUAAAGAAACCUUUUGUCAGUCCUAGAAACACUGAUGAAUAAGGGGUGGGCAAGUUCUGGUGUCAGCC